CCUACGUGAGGCUGCAGUGGGGAAUAUUGCACAAUGGGGGAAACCCUGAUGCAGCGACGCCGCGUGAGUGAAGAAGUAUUUCGGUAUGUAAAGCUCUAUCAGCAGGGAAGAAAAUGACGGUACCUGAUUAAGAAGCCCCGGCUAACUACGUGCCAGCAGCCGCGGUAAUACGUAGGGGGCAAGCGUUAGCCGGAUUUACGGGGUGUAUAGGGAGCGUAGACGGCAGCACAAGUCUGGUGUGAAAUGCCGGGGCUUAACCCCGGAACUGGUUUGGAAACUGUGCAGCUAGAGUGCAGGAGAGGUAAGUGGGAUUCCUAGUGUAGCGGUGAAAUGCGUAGAUAUUAGGAGGAACACCAGUGGCGAAGGCGGCUUACUGGACUGUAACUGACGUUGAGGCUCGAAGGCGUGGGGAGCAAACAGGAUUAGAUACCCGGGUAGUC
Molecule: ribosomal RNA, 440 nt
Filed under: uncultured bacterium
Lineage: Bacteria
Description: partial 16S ribosomal RNA
Rfam family: Bacterial small subunit ribosomal RNA
Source: RNAcentral